CUUUCGGAAACAGACCCAGUUUCAGAAUCAGCAUAGCUAGGUUUCUGGUUGUUGUGAUUUGAGCCACCUGAACAUGGUUUGCAGUUCUUGUAUGCUCCUGAUGCUUUAAUGGCCAUAUCCUUGAUCUGAAAAAUAAACAAGUUACAGGUUGAAAGUGAGAGAGAAGCUCUCAUAAUAACUCAUAAGAGAGAGAAGAGGCUGCUGAGAUUUGUGGGGUUUUCGAUGCAAUAGAGGCCAACUCAAGUAUCAAAGCAAGGGUUGUGGCAAGUUGCAGCUGUUUCUCUUUCUCCCCCUGACAAGUCUGUGUGCACAACUAUAUUUUUAAUAUGGGGAGAGAGCCAACAGUAUGUUGUAUCUCUAGUUUUUAAUUCAUACAUUAAUUUCUAUUUCAAGAUUUUGUUUACUUUCACUUUUUAAAUUUCAAUUUGAUUUGUUUGAAUUAGCUAUUUAAUUUUUCAUGUUUGAUUGAUACAUAAAAAAAACGAGUGCUUUUGUAUCUUUAUCUUUUUUU
This is a long non-coding RNA of Lycium barbarum (goji berry), 511 nucleotides long. RefSeq lists it as uncharacterized. Lineage: Eukaryota; Viridiplantae; Streptophyta; Magnoliopsida; Solanales; Solanaceae. The transcript has 2 exons. The record is from RefSeq and is a predicted model, not a curated record.